Long non-coding RNA from Daktulosphaira vitifoliae (grape phylloxera), 1832 nucleotides. RefSeq lists it as uncharacterized. The record is from RefSeq and is a predicted model, not a curated record. Lineage: Eukaryota; Metazoa; Arthropoda; Insecta; Hemiptera; Phylloxeridae. The transcript is spliced from 5 exons.
UUUUUUUUUUUAUUAUCCCGACACAUCGGGUUCGAUGUAUUCAUUUACACCGACACUUAUUGUAAAUAAUUGUUGCUGCAAGUACAAUUUCUCGUACGCGAUCUGCUCAGUGUCUUGCGCACAAUAAUAACUACGGGUCGGUUUACGUCAUAUCACCACCGUACGUUGGCAUUUCAUUUGGUUUUUUAUCUGGCCACCGCAUAUUGCUGUUUGACGUUUUGCUGGCAUCUGAUCGCCAUACGCCGAAUUCUGUAAAAAAAUUAAAACGUCGGCACUUGGCGUCGAGCCACACUCUGAGCUUUUAGACGUCGUGUGUUUAUUAUUAUUAUCAUAUUUUAUUUUCAUUAUCAUUCUAAAUCACGCGAAAAGUACUGACAUCCGCUUCUUCGACAUAAAUAGUGUGUAUAAGUUUGAUGAACUGCCGGACCCGCGGGGCCGCAAAGGUUUACACGGUAAUAGAGAAAAAACGAAAUAAUAACAAUUUGGAAAGCGUGCAAUAUAACUCUGGUGUGAGUUUUUGAUAUUGUAGUCAGCACUGAGACUUGUGCGUUAAAGAUUUACGCUACGUGUAGUGGAGGAGUUGGUUAACCGUAAAAAAUGAUAAAAAUCAAUUAUUAGACUGUCAAGCGCAGGAUGAAUUAAUGCUACAAAAAAAGAAAACAGAAAAAAAUGUUUUAUAACAUUAUUUGGAUUCAAGAUUCAACGUGUCUUAGGUCACGUAGCACAAAAUUCAUAUUGAUUUAUUCAUUAUAAAUGAAGCGCUCCAUACAAUAACAUUUAAGUUCAGAAAAGAUAUUUAUUGGAUAAAUAAUUAACAUUGAUAAUUAUUGUAUUGGCGAAUAAUUAUCGUUAACUGUCAAACUAAAGUAAAAUUAAAGUUUUAUAACACAGAUUAUGCACAUGAGAUAUUUUGAGGAUAAAUAAAAAUCGAAGGUCUAUGAAAAUUUACCAAUUGAAUCGAAUAGGAAGUAGCGCAAAAUGACGGAUUUUUUGUUAGCUUGUGUUCCUAGUUUAGUGUUAAAAUAUAUUUAGCUUAAAAUUAAAUUUCCAAAACUAGCUCUUUACGUAAAAAAAUAUUUUUUUUAAGAAAACACUUUCCUUUGGGACUUUAAAAUGGAAAAUUCGUUCAAUUCAAUACAAGGUUAUGAAAAACUUUUUCUCUUCAACUAUUUGAAUACGCUAUUGGAUAUAAUAACUUAUCCCAAGAAGUAUAAAAAUGAAAAAGUUGUCUCUUUUCUUUGUGAAGCCUAAAAACAAAAAUGUCGUGAAACAGAAUUUACAUAAUAGGCGUGUCAACAUAUAUUCGUGGUACAUUUCCAUGACACUAUUUAUUACCCAAAAGUUAUGGAGGUACCUUUUGGAAAUGAUAUAAUACUUUUGCCUUCGUUAGAUCAACGCGAAUCAGGAAGCUGCAUUUCCUUCCGGACAAAAGACGACAGCGAUAUUACUUACAAAAGAUCUUCAUCAAAAAAUAUAAUACACAACAAAAUACGUUUAAAAUUAACUUUCAUUAAAAUUAAAAAAUACGUUGUAGAACUUCUUAUGAUAUUGACGCAGUGAUAAGUUAACCUUGAAAAAAGAAAACGCCCUUCUACAAUCAUAGAAAAAUAAUUAUGUCACAGUUCAGAAUGUUCUUAUUGCUUUGAAAAAAUAAUGAGUAGGUUAUAUCUAGUUUCAUUUACAAAAUCCAAACGUUCAACUGAGCUCGUUUCUUUUACUUUAUGUUUAUCAAGACUACGCAAUUUUAACAAAAGCUUUGCUAAAAGUCUAAAAAUUAAUUUGUUUUAAAUAUUAUAAUUAUUUUGAAUAAUUCCCAAUGUUAAUUUUUUUAA